UACGUAGGUGGCAAGCGUUGUCCGGAUUUAUUGGGUUUAAAGGGUGCGUAGGCGGCCUUAUAAGUCAGUGCUGAAAUAUCCCGGCUUAACCGGGAGGGUGGCAUUGAUACUGUAGGGCUUGAGUGUAGUCGAGGUAGGCGGAAUUGACGGUGUAGCGGUGAAAUGCGUAGAUAUCUGGAGGAACACCGGUGGCGAAGGCGGCAUUCUGGACCAAUACUGACGCUGAGGAGCGAAAGCCAGGGGAGCAAACGGG
RNAcentral lists this ribosomal RNA (253 nucleotides) under uncultured bacterium. RNAcentral's name for it is "partial 16S ribosomal RNA". It matches the Rfam family "Bacterial small subunit ribosomal RNA", at positions 524 to 776 of the family's 1533-position model. The record is from RNAcentral.